This 1487-nucleotide long non-coding RNA is filed under the name Homo sapiens (human). RNAcentral describes it as "HSALNT0036427". Lineage: Eukaryota; Metazoa; Chordata; Mammalia; Primates; Hominidae. The record is from RNAcentral.
CCUGGAUUCAAAUGAUUCUCCCACCUCAGCCUCCUGAGCAGUUGGGAUUACAGGCAUGCACCAUCAUGCCCAGCUAAUUUUUGUAAUUUUAGUAGAGAUGGAGUUUUGCCUUGUUGGGCAGGCUGGUCCCACCCAAACUCCUGGCCUCGAACGAUCCACCUGCCUUGACUUCCCGAAGUGUUGGGAUUACAGGUGUGAGCUCCCAUGCCCAGCCAAGAGAAUAUUUUAUAGUAACCAUUUUAAUUCCUUUAGUUGUUUUCUUUGUGAUCACUCUAGGUCAUGCUGCAGCUGGAAAAUGCCAUAACAACUCCCUCUUGAGUGACAAGAAACAGCAGCUGGCACAGGACUGAUCCUGCUUCUUCAGACCCUCAAUCAGAGUCUACAGUGGGAGCUUAGACUUUACAAAUCUCCUCCCUCUCAACCUAAUUAAACUAAAGAGCUUCUGCAUAGCAAAAGAAACUAUUGGGAGUAAACAGACAACCCACAAAAUGGGAGAAAAUAUUCACAAACUAUGCAUCCAAUGAAGGUCUAAUAUCCAGAAUCUACAAGGAACUUAAACAAUGGAAUGAGUAAAAACCAAAUAACUCCAUUAAAAAAUGGGCAAAAGACAUGAACAGACACUUCUCAAAAGAAGACAUACGAGUGGCCAACAAACAUCUGAGAAAAUGCUCAACAUCCUUAAUCAGAAAAAUGCAAAUCAAAACCACAAUGAGACACCAUCUCACACCAGUCAGAAUGGCUAUUAUUAAAAAGUCAAAAAACAGCAGAUGCUGGUGAAGCUGUGGAGAAAAGGGAACACUUACAAAUUGUUGGUGAGAAUGUACAUUAGCACAGCCACUGUGGAAAGCAGUUGGAGAUUUCUCAAAGAACUAAAAACAGCUAUCAUUCAGCCCAGCAAUCUCAUUACUGGGUAUAUAUCCUAAAGAAAACAAAUCAUUCUACCAAAAAGACACAUGCACUCACAUGUUCAUUGCUGUGCUAUUCACAAUAACAAAAACGUGAAAUCAACCUAGGUGUCCAUUAAGGGUGGACUGGAUAAAAAAAAGGUGGUAUGUAUGCCCCAUGGAAUACUAUGCAGCUAUAAAAAAGAAUGAAAUCAUGUCCUUUGCAGCAACACGGAUGCAGUUGGAGACCAUUAUCCUAAGCAAUUUAAUGCAGGAACAGAAACCAAAUGUCACAUGUUCUCACUUAUAAGUGGGAACUAAACAUUGGGUAUACAUGGAUAUAAAGAUGGUAACAAUAGAAACUGGGGACUACUAGAAGAGGGAAGGAGGGGGCAAGGGUUGAAAAAACUAACUAUCGGGAACACUGCUCAAUACUUAGGUGAGUGAAUCAUUUGUACCCUAAACCUCAGCAUCGUGCAAUGUACCCAUGUAACAAACUUGCACAUAUAUCCCUGAAUUGAAAAUAAAAGUAGGAAAAAGCAAACAAACAAAUCUUCUCCCACUUACCAAGCAGCAAUUUUCUGGCUCCUCCAGAGUGCCCAC